Molecule: non-coding RNA, 454 nt
Organism: Maylandia zebra (zebra mbuna)
Lineage: Eukaryota; Metazoa; Chordata; Actinopteri; Cichliformes; Cichlidae
Source: RefSeq, a predicted model, not a curated record
GUAAUACUGUCUCUAUAACUGUAUUAGAUAAACCCAGGGCCACACUGACAGCAGGAACAACAAUCAUACCAGUAGGGGGCAGUGUGACACUGACCUGCUCUGUGCAGAGCUCUGAUGGAUGGAAAUAUGAGUGGUUCAGACGAACCCAAACAACCUCUGAAGUUCAAAUCAGAGAUCAACAAAACAGAGAUAUCAGAGUAUCUGAAGGAGGAAUCUACAGCUGCAGAGGAACAAGAGGAAACCCAGUUUACUACACUGAUAUAAGUUAUGAUGUCACCAUUGAGAAAACCAUUUCCAAUAAAGUUGUUGUAAAACAACAACCCAACUGGCCUCAGAUAUUCAGAGGUGAGACGAUCACUCUGACAUGUGAGGUGCAGGAAGGAGGUGAAACCACUGAGUGGGAGUAUGAAUGGAGAGGACCCAGGACACCCACACAGUGGACACACAAUAAUGA